Molecule: small nuclear RNA, 164 nt
Filed under: Peromyscus maniculatus bairdii (prairie deer mouse)
Lineage: Eukaryota; Metazoa; Chordata; Mammalia; Rodentia; Cricetidae
Description: U1 spliceosomal RNA (ENSPEMG00000029491.1)
Rfam family: U1 spliceosomal RNA
About the family: U1 is a small nuclear RNA (snRNA) component of the spliceosome (involved in pre-mRNA splicing). Its 5' end forms complementary base pairs with the 5' splice junction, thus defining the 5' donor site of an intron.
Source: Rfam by way of RNAcentral
AUACUUACCUGGCAGGGGAGAUACCAUGAUCACGAAGGUGGUUUUCCCAGGGCGAGGCUUAUCCAUUGCACUCCAGAUGUGCUGACCUCUGCGAUUUCCCCAAAUGCGGGAAACUCAACUGCAUGAUUUGUGGUAGUGGGGGACUGCAUUUGCGCUCUCCCCUG